AUUGAACGCUGGCGGCAGGCCUAACACAUGCAAGUCGAACGGUAACAGGAAGAAGCUUGCUUCUUUGCUGACGAGUGGCGGACGGGUGAGUCAUGUCUGGGAAACUGCCUGAUGGAGGGGGAUAACUAUUGGAAACGGUAGCUAAUACCGCAUAACGUCUCAAGCCUAAAGAGGGGGACCUUCGGGCCUCUUGCCAUCGGUUGUGCCCAGAUGGGAUUGGCUAGUUGGUGGGCUAACGGCUCACCUAGGCGACGAUCCCUAUCUGGUCUGAGAGGAUGACCGGCCACACUGGAACUGAGACACGGUCCAGACUGAGAAGGGAGGCAGCAGUGGGGAAUAUUGGACAAUGGGCGCAAGCCUGCUGCAGCGAUGGCGCGUGUAUGAAGAAGGCCUUCGGGGUGUAAAGUAGUUUCAGCGGGGAUGAAGAGAGUAAAGUUAAUACCAUGGCUCAUUGACGUUACCCGGAGAAGAAGCACCGGCUAACUCCGUG
This 490-nucleotide ribosomal RNA is filed under the name uncultured bacterium. RNAcentral describes it as "partial 16S ribosomal RNA". It matches the Rfam family "Bacterial small subunit ribosomal RNA", at positions 30 to 507 of the family's 1533-position model. The record is from RNAcentral.